This 830-nucleotide ribosomal RNA is filed under the name uncultured Bacteroidota bacterium. RNAcentral describes it as "bacterial SSU rRNA". It matches the Rfam family "Bacterial small subunit ribosomal RNA", at positions 60 to 893 of the family's 1533-position model. Lineage: Bacteria; Pseudomonadati; Bacteroidota. The record is from RNAcentral.
AGUCGAGGGGCAGCGGGAGUGCUUGCACUCGCCGGCGACCGGCGCACGGGUGCGGAACGCGUAUCGAAUCUGCCUCUAUCUGGGGGAUACCCCAUGGAAACGUGGAAUAAUACCCCAUAGUAUUACUUUAUCGCAUGAUUUAGUAAUUAAAGAAUUUCGGAUAGAGAUGACGAUGCGUAUCAUUAGCUAGUAGGUAAGGUAACGGCUUACCUAGGCAACGAUGAUUAGGGGUCCUGAGAGGGAGAUCCCCCACACUGGUACUGAGACACGGACCAGACUCCUACGGGAGGCAGCAGUGAGGAAUAUUGGACAAUGGUCGAAAGACUGAUCCAGCCAUGCCGCGUGCAGGAUGACUGCCCUAUGGGUUGUAAACUGCUUUUAUACGGGAAGAAAAACACCUACGUGUAGGUGACUGACGGUACCGUAAGAAUAAGGACCGGCUAACUCCGUGCCAGCAGCCGCGGUAAUACGGAGGGUCCAAGCGUUAUCCGGAAUCAUUGGGUUUAAAGGGUCCGUAGGCGGGCUAUUAAGUCAGAGGUGAAAGUUUGCAGCUCAACUGUAAAAUUGCCUUUGAUACUGAUAGUCUUGAAUUGUAGUGAAGUGGUUAGAAUAUGUGGUGUAGCGGUGAAAUGCAUAGAUAUCACAUAGAAUACCGAUUGCGAAGGCAGAUCACUAACUAUAUAUUGACGCUGAGGGACGAAAGCGUGGGGAGCGAACGGGAUUAGAUACCCCGGUAGUCCACGCCGUAAACGAUGGAUACUAGCUGUUGGAUUUUUUCAGUGGCUAAGCGAAAGUGAUAAGUAUCCCACCUGGGGAGUACGUUCGCAAGA